This 402-nucleotide ribosomal RNA is filed under the name uncultured marine eukaryote. RNAcentral describes it as "SSU rRNA". It matches the Rfam family "Eukaryotic small subunit ribosomal RNA", at positions 613 to 1018 of the family's 1831-position model. The record is from RNAcentral.
UUGCAGUUAAAAAGCUCGUAGUUGGAUUUCGGAGUGGGCCAGUUGGUCCGCCGCAAGGUGUGUUACUGACUGGUUUGCUCUUCUUCGCAAAGACUGCGUGUGCUCUUGAGUGAGUGUGCGUAGGAUUUACGACGUUUACUUUGAAAAAAUUAGAGUGUUCAAAGCAGGCUAUUGCUUGAAUACAUGGGCAUGGAAUAAUGGAAUAGGACUUUGGUCCCAUUUUGUUGGUUUCUAGGGCCGAAGUAAUGAUUAAGAGGGACAAUUGGGGGCAUCCGUAUUUCGUUGUCAGAGGUGAAAUUCUUGGAUUUACGAAAGACGAACAACCUGCGAAAGCACUUGCCAAGAGUGUUUUCCAUUAAUCCAAGAACGGAAGUUAGAAGGAUCGAAGACGAUCAGAUCCGU